This 352-nucleotide unclassified non-coding RNA is filed under the name soil metagenome. Its description in RNAcentral is "partial contains 5.8S ribosomal RNA, internal transcribed spacer 2, and large subunit ribosomal RNA". The stretch from base 1 to 120 matches the Rfam family "5.8S ribosomal RNA", at positions 35 to 154 of the family's 154-position model. The record is from RNAcentral.
GAUGAAGAACGUAGCGAAAUGCGAUAAGUAAUGUGAAUUGCAGAAUUCAGUGAAUCAUCGAAUCUUUGAACGCACAUUGCGCCCGCCAGUAUUCUAGCGGGCAUGCCUGUUCGAGCGUCAUUACAACCCUCAGGCCCCCGGGCCUGGCGUUGGGGAUCGGCGGAGCCCCCCGUGGGCACACGCCGUCCCCCAAAUGCAGUGGCGGUCCCGCCGCAGCUUCCAUCGCGUAGUAGCUAACACCUCGCGACUGGAGAGCGGCGCGGCCACGCCGUAAAACACCCAACUCUUCUGAAGUUGACCUCGAAUCAGGUAGGAAUACCCGCUGAACUUAAGCAUAUCAAUAAGCGGAGGA